GACGAACGCUGGCGGCGUGCUUAACACAUGCAAGUCGAACGCUGAAGCUUGGUGCUUGCACUGGGUGGAUGAGUGGCGAACGGGUGAGUAAUACGUGAGUAACCUGCCCUUGACUCUGGGAUAAGCCUGGGAAACUGGGUCUAAUACUGGAUACGACAUGUCACCGCAUGGUGGUGUGUGGAAAGGGUUUUACUGGUUUUGGAUGGGCUCACGGCCUAUCAGCUUGUUGGUGGGGUAAUGGCUCACCAAGGCGACGACGGGUAGCCGGCCUGAGAGGGUGACCGGCCACACUGGGACUGAGACACGGCCCAGACUCCUACGGGAGGCAGCAGUGGGGAAUAUUGCACAAUGGGCGGAAGCCUGAUGCAGCGACGCCGCGUGAGGGAUGACGGCCUUCGGGUUGUAAACCUCCUUCAGCACGGAAGAAGCGAAAGUGACGGUACGUGCAGAAGAGGCGCCGGCUAACUACGUG
Molecule: ribosomal RNA, 472 nt
Filed under: uncultured bacterium
Lineage: Bacteria
Description: partial 16S ribosomal RNA
Rfam family: Bacterial small subunit ribosomal RNA
Source: RNAcentral